GACAGAGGGUGCAACCGUUGCUCGGAAUUACUGGGCGUAAAGCGCGUGUAGGCGGGCUAGUAAGUCGGACGUGAAAUCCCUGGGCUCAACCCAGGAACUGCAUCCGAAACUAUUAGCCUUGAGUGGUGGAGAGGGAAGCAGAAUUCCUGGUGUAGAGGUGAAAUUCGUAGAUAUCAGGAGGAACACCGGUGGCGAAGGCGGCUUCCUGGACACUAACUGACGCUGAGACGCGAAAGCGUGGGGAGCAAACAGG
Molecule: ribosomal RNA, 253 nt
Filed under: uncultured bacterium
Lineage: Bacteria
Description: partial 16S ribosomal RNA
Rfam family: Bacterial small subunit ribosomal RNA
Source: RNAcentral